UCUUCAUCCUUUGUAGAUAAUUAGCUAUUCUAUGAUCUUUUUUACCACAACCAAAGUAUAUACUAAUAUUCCAAUGAUAAUCACUUACCGUAUAAUUUCCACCACAUCGAGAAUUCUUAACAUUAUCGGUCGAUCCAUAAUUGUCACUUACUAACCUCUUAUUUCAAACCCCCAAUAUGUUUACUAUUCCGUCCUUAGGAUUCAUUCGAUCU
This 212-nucleotide long non-coding RNA is filed under the name Elaeis guineensis (African oil palm). Its description in RNAcentral is "long non-coding RNA (EGUI_LNC050459)". Lineage: Eukaryota; Viridiplantae; Streptophyta; Magnoliopsida; Arecales; Arecaceae. The record is from RNAcentral.